This 252-nucleotide unclassified non-coding RNA is filed under the name Hevea brasiliensis (rubber tree). Lineage: Eukaryota; Viridiplantae; Streptophyta; Magnoliopsida; Malpighiales; Euphorbiaceae. The record is from RNAcentral.
GAACAUUUCCGGUGCUGGAUCUGCGAAAGUUCCAGAAUCUCCGGCCUGCAACUUCAGCAGCUAAUGAAGACGACGAUAACGGUUGCACCAGUGGUAGAGGUGCCAUAGCGAUCCUCCUGGAGAAUCCAACAGAGAAUUUGGAGGAAGACAAACAUGGAGGCUGUACCUCAGGCAACUUCGAGUGAAGAUCUGCGAGCUGUGACUGUGAAGCCAUCUCCGGCGAGGUGUAUCGGACGGAGACGGAACGCCAAC